Molecule: ribosomal RNA, 194 nt
Filed under: Enterococcus faecium
Lineage: Bacteria; Bacillati; Bacillota; Bacilli; Lactobacillales; Enterococcaceae
Description: partial 23S ribosomal RNA
Rfam family: Bacterial large subunit ribosomal RNA
Source: RNAcentral
GGUUAAGUGAAUAAGGGCGCACGGUGGAUGCCUUGGCACUAGGAGCCGAUGAAGGACGGGACUAACACCGAUAUGCUUUGGGGAGCUGUACGUAAGCUAUGAUCCAGAGAUUUCCGAAUGGGGGAACCCAGCAUCUUUAAUAGGAUGUUACGAUUGUGUGAAUACAUAGCACAUUCGAGGUAGACGCAGAGAAC